AGUCAACCUACCCUAAAGAUAGGCAUAACCUCGAGAAAUUGAGGUGAAUUCCUAAUAGCUCACCCAUACUGGAAUGUAGGGUGAGUUAAAAAGAGCAUGAAUUGGAGUGAAUUCUGCUUUAGGAUGGGACUGCGGCUGAUUAGGCUGUUGGUGGGGUAACGGCCCACCAAACCAAUAAUCAGUACGGGCUAUGAGAGUAGGAGCCCGGAGAUGGGAACUGAGACAAGGUCCCAAGCCCUACGGGGUGCAGCAGGCGCGAAACUUCCGCAAUGCGCGAAAGCGUGACGGGGGCAGUCCGAGUGAUUCUCUUAGGAGAGUCUUUUGCUUAGUUCGAAUAACUAGGCGAAUAAGUGGUGGGUAAAUCCUGUGCCAG
RNAcentral lists this ribosomal RNA (373 nucleotides) under uncultured prokaryote. Its description in RNAcentral is "bacterial SSU rRNA". It matches the Rfam family "Archaeal small subunit ribosomal RNA", at positions 102 to 461 of the family's 1478-position model. The record is from RNAcentral.